This 215-nucleotide non-coding RNA is filed under the name Peptostreptococcaceae bacterium. Its description in RNAcentral is "T-box sequence". It matches the Rfam family "T-box leader". Rfam says of the family: Uncharged tRNA acts as the effector for transcription antitermination of genes in the T-box leader family. Lineage: Bacteria; Bacillati; Bacillota; Clostridia; Peptostreptococcales; Peptostreptococcaceae. The record is from RNAcentral.
AUCAAAGAUAUUGCAAGACGAGUAGGUCAUAUGUAUUUUUCAGAGAGGGAAUGGCAGGUGUAAAUUCCUAUUUAACAGUGGCUGAAGGCUACCUUGUAUCUCCAAGCUCCAAUAAAGCUUGGCGUUGAUUACGUUAUAAUCGUUGAGAGUAUUUCGUUGUAAGUUCUAUUCGAGAUACAAAAACAAGGGUGGUACCACGAUAAUUCGUCCCUAAU